Haplochromis burtoni (Burton's mouthbrooder) is the source of this 63-nucleotide microRNA precursor. Lineage: Eukaryota; Metazoa; Chordata; Actinopteri; Cichliformes; Cichlidae. The record is from Ensembl.
UUUAAUUAGUACAGCCUGUAUUAGUAAUGUCAUCUAUUCUUUACAGGCUAUGCUAAUCUAUGC